AUUGAACGCUGGCGGCAUGCUUUACACAUGCAAGUCGAACGGUAACGCGGGGCAACCUGGCGACGAGUGGCGAACGGGUGAGUAAUGCAUCGGAACGUGCCCAGUAGUGGGGGAUAGCCCGGCGAAAGCCGGAUUAAUACCGCAUACGACCUACGGGUGAAAGCGGGGGACCGUAAGGCCUCGCGCUAUUGGAGCGGCCGAUGUCAGAUUAGGUAGUUGGUGGGGUAAAGGCCUACCAAGCCUUCGAUCUGUAGCUGGUCUGAGAGGACGACCAGCCACACUGGGACUGAGACACGGCCCAGACUCCUACGGGAGGCAGCAGUGGGGAAUUUUGGACAAUGGGCGCAAGCCUGAUCCAGCCAUGCCGCGUGCGGGAAGAAGGCCUUCGGGUUGUAAACCGCUUUUGUCAGGGAAGAAACGCUCCGGGCUAAUACCCUGGGGUAAUGACGGUACCUGAAGAAUAAGCACCGGCUAACUACGUG
RNAcentral lists this ribosomal RNA (482 nucleotides) under uncultured bacterium. RNAcentral describes it as "bacterial SSU rRNA". It matches the Rfam family "Bacterial small subunit ribosomal RNA", at positions 29 to 507 of the family's 1533-position model. The record is from RNAcentral.